UGACAAAUAAACAGACUUAUCUGGCAUAUCACCAUCUAACAGGGGAAACUGGAGAGACGAGGACAAAUUUGGUAUUGUGGUGGUCUGCAAAGGAGGACCCGUUCACUCCCAAAGGUUGUCAGCUGCUGUGCUGGAGCAAGGGUCUGUUCCACUGGAAGAGAGGAAAGGAUGAAAGAAAGAAAAAUCACUGAGACGUGCCUACAAGACAGAAACAUGCAAUAUCGUAUUUCCUUGUCCUACUGUAAUCCAUAAAGAUAGAGUAAUUUGUAUUUUAUUUAGUAAGCUCUGACUCACUCCAUUGCUUGAGUAGAAUGUGAAUCAGUAAGGACAUGUUCUACAGCUCGAAGUGAGUGCCUUUCUUUGCUCCCAGAUCAUGUUAAAUAUUUGUAGUA
RNAcentral lists this long non-coding RNA (392 nucleotides) under Numida meleagris (helmeted guineafowl). Its description in RNAcentral is "lncRNA (ENSNMEG00000000390.1)". Lineage: Eukaryota; Metazoa; Chordata; Aves; Galliformes; Numididae. The record is from RNAcentral.